GAAAUGCGAUAAGUAAUGUGAAUUGCAGAAUUCAGUGAAUCAUCGAAUCUUUGAACGCACCUUGCGCUCCUUGGUAUUCCUUGGAGCAUGCCUGUUUGAGUAUCAUGAAAUCUUCAAAGUAAAUCUUUUGUUAACUCAAUUGGUUUCUACUUUGGUAUUGGAGGUCUUUGCAGCUUCACACCUGCUCCUCUUUGUUCAUUAGCUGGAUCUCAGUGUUAUGCUUGGUUCCACUCGGCGUGAUAAGUUAUCUAUCGCUGAGGACACUGUUAAGGUGGCCAAGGUAAAUGCAGAUGAACCGCUUCUAAUAGUCCAUUGACUUGGACAAUACUUUUAUGAUCUGAUCUCAAAUCAGGUAGGACUACCCGCUGAACUUAAGC
Molecule: unclassified non-coding RNA, 377 nt
Filed under: plant metagenome
Description: partial contains 5.8S ribosomal RNA, internal transcribed spacer 2, and large subunit ribosomal RNA
Rfam family: 5.8S ribosomal RNA (bases 1-105)
Source: RNAcentral